This 85-nucleotide transfer RNA is filed under the name Planctomycetota bacterium. RNAcentral describes it as "Planctomycetes bacterium tRNA-Leu". It matches the Rfam family "tRNA". From Rfam's summary of the family: Transfer RNA (tRNA) molecules are approximately 80 nucleotides in length. The record is from RNAcentral. RNAcentral also lists the same sequence under 1 other name. Lineage: Bacteria; Pseudomonadati; Planctomycetota.
GCGAGAGUGGCGGAAUUGGCAGACGCGCUAGAUUUAGGAUCUAGUGUCUUAGGACGUGGGGGUUCAAGUCCCCCCUCUCGCACCA